UACAGGGGGUGCAAACGUUGCUCGGAAUUACUGGGCGUAAAGCGUGCGCAGGCGGUUUUGUAAGCCAGAUGUGAAAUCCCCGGGCUUAACCUGGGAAUGGCAUUUGGGACUGCAAGGCUCGAGUGCGGCAGAGGAGACUGGAAUUCCUGGUGUAGCAGUGAAAUGCGUAGAUAUCAGGAGGAACACCGAUGGCGAAGGCAGGUCUCUGGGCUGACACUGACGCUCAUGCACGAAAGCGUGGGGAGCAAACAGG
This 253-nucleotide ribosomal RNA is filed under the name uncultured bacterium. RNAcentral's name for it is "partial 16S ribosomal RNA". It matches the Rfam family "Bacterial small subunit ribosomal RNA", at positions 524 to 776 of the family's 1533-position model. The record is from RNAcentral.